UACGAAGGGUGCAAGCGUGAAUCGGAAUUACUGGGCGUAAAGCGCGCGUAGGUGGUUCGUUAAGUUGGAUGUGAACGCCCCGGGCUCAACCUGGGAACUGCAUCCAAAACUGGCGAGCUAGAGUAUGGCAGAGGGUGGUGGAAUUUCCUGUGUAGCGGUGAAAUGCGUAGAUAUAGGAAGGAACACCAGUGGCGAAGGCGACCACCUGGGCUAAUACGGACACUGAGGUGCGCAAGCGGGGGGCGCAAACAGGCGGAGAUAACCCUGUAGUCC
RNAcentral lists this ribosomal RNA (273 nucleotides) under uncultured bacterium. Its description in RNAcentral is "partial 16S ribosomal RNA". It matches the Rfam family "Bacterial small subunit ribosomal RNA", at positions 524 to 796 of the family's 1533-position model. The record is from RNAcentral.